RNAcentral lists this ribosomal RNA (418 nucleotides) under uncultured bacterium. RNAcentral's name for it is "bacterial SSU rRNA". It matches the Rfam family "Bacterial small subunit ribosomal RNA", at positions 355 to 787 of the family's 1533-position model. The record is from RNAcentral.
UGGGGAAUAUUGGGCAAUGGGCGAAAGCCUGACUCAGCAACGCCGCGUGAGGGAAGAAGGUUUUCGGAUUGUAAACCUCUGUCCUAAGGGACGAAGGAAGUGACGGUACCUUAGGAGGAAGCCCCGGCUAACUACGUGCCAGCAGCCGCGGUAAUACGUAGGGGGCGAGCGUUGUCCGGAAUGACUGGGCGUAAAGGGCGUGUAGGCGGCUUUUUAAGUCUGGAGUGAAAGUCCUGCUUUCAAGGUGGGAAUUGCUUUGGAGACUGGAGAGCUUGAGUGCGGAAGAGGUAAGUGGAAUUCCCAGUGUAGCGGUGAGAUGCGUAGAGAUUGGGAGGAACACCAGUGGCGAAGGCGACUUACUGGGCCGUAACUGACGCUGAGGCGCGAAAGCGUGGGGAGCGAACAGGAUUAGAUACCC